This is a long non-coding RNA of Chelonoidis abingdonii (Abingdon island giant tortoise), 1065 nucleotides long. RefSeq lists it as uncharacterized. The record is from RefSeq and is a predicted model, not a curated record. NCBI's taxonomy places the organism in Eukaryota, Metazoa, Chordata, Testudines, Testudinidae.
UGAGAACGUUGCAGCGCUGUAAAGCGCCAGUGUAGCCAAGGCCAGACUGUCAACUUGCUGGAAAUCUCACUGCUGAACCCCUGCAUUUUGAGGACACCCUCCACCGAUGUCAAUCAAGGUGCAAACCAAGAGGGAGGAGACUGAAUGAAUUCUCUGAUAUCGUUGACUUGAUGAAUUAAGGGCUAGUCUACACAAAUUGCUACAGUGGCUGUAGCACUGCGUUGCUGUGGCACUGCUAGUGCAAACACUCGAUGCCAAUGGGAGAGAACUCUCCCGUCGGCAUAAUUAUUCCACCUCCCUGAACAUCAGUAGCUAUAUCGGCGGGAGAGCGUCUCCCCCUGACAUAGCGCUGUCCACACGGGCGCUUAGGUCAGUGUAAUUUACCUCACUCGGGGGUGGCUUUUCCACACCCCUGAGCGACUUAACUUAUGUCAAAAUAAGCACUAGUGUGUACAAGCCCUAAGAGAGAAGUGUGGUCCUGGAGACUCAGAAGAUGGCCAGUUCACAGCCAGAGGAACCAUCUGGAUCAGAGGAAGAUAUCUGACCUGGGGAAGAGAUCAUGUGCACUGACAGCUUGUGGCAACUAAGGACAAAGGAAGAGAUGAAAAAGACAGAGGAGUGGAAGGAACAGCAUGACAAAGAGAAGGAAAAAGACAGGAAAAUGGCAUGGUCCUAACAAACACAGCUGCUGGGAUACAAAGGCGCAAAGCUUCCUUGGAAACAUGCUAGCUCUCUGGUCAAGGACUGCUUCACAGCCUGUGUGUCCCCAGCUACAAUGCCCAGAAACAGGUCCUGCUCCAGGCAUUAUGUGCCAUGGGACAACAAAGAAAAUGGUAGACAGUGAGAGAUACCCGCAAGGGAGUGGCCCUCCCACAUCAAAGAUGCAGACAACAGGGUUGAGUUGUCUACAUGUGCACAUUUGUGACCUUAAAAGCAGAAACUUGUCUGCAUGCUACUCUUGACUGUAGUAUAUUUUUUUCAUUUACUAUUUGCAUAUUGGUAUGUAUGUUAAUAUUUUUUCUGAUCUAAACAUUUACAUUGGUAUAUUGUUUAUUAAAAAUACUU